UUGGAAAUGACGAUCCUUUCCCCAGAUGAUCGACUAGGAUUAUACUGUGCGCAAUUGUGAUACCUUCUCACCGGAGGAGGAUUUCAAGCCAGAAAUCUGAUCCAU
RNAcentral lists this small nucleolar RNA (105 nucleotides) under Setaria italica (foxtail millet). RNAcentral describes it as "snoRNA snoZ103". It matches the Rfam family "Small nucleolar RNA Z103". From Rfam's summary of the family: This family consists of several snoRNA Z103 sequences which are members of the C/D class of snoRNA which contain the C (UGAUGA) and D (CUGA) box motifs. This family seems to be found exclusively in plants. C/D box small nucleolar RNAs are known to act as a methylation guides for 18S ribosomal RNA. RNAcentral also lists the same sequence under 1 other name. Lineage: Eukaryota; Viridiplantae; Streptophyta; Magnoliopsida; Poales; Poaceae. The record is from Rfam by way of RNAcentral.